GCUCGAGAGGCGCCAUUUCGGCCGGACGACCCCAGAAACCUAAAGCACUUGGCGCCCUUGCUGCUCUCAGCCCUGAGCGUGGAAACACAGCCAGCUUUUCCUCCUUGAAGUCUCAUUCUUGGGCUUCGGGACCGCUGCGGCAGUGACGUCAGCGGACCUCUCCAGCCCAGUCCGCCCAGCUACGUCACUGCCCGCAUCUCGGUGGAGCAGGUAGCAAGGGCUCCGCGGCAGGUGAGGCCCAGAGCCGUUCAGGCUUGCGGCCGGGGAGAGGAGCGGAGAACCCGAAGGGGGAGGGGGUUCCUGUGGAUGGUGGAGAAAAAAAACAGGUUAGAGAAAAAAGUAGCAUGCAAUGAAAGAACAAUGAGAAAGGAUGAUAUUUAGAAGACGGGGGGGGGGAGCAGCAUGCCCCCUUCUAACAAAAAGUGGUUUCUGUUUUCAGCUUUUGAGUUUUAGGAUGUGGAAGAGGUGAGGAGCUUCUGAUCUGUUUGAGUUCACAGCUAAGAGUUUGCUUCAAAUCUCACAGGAAAAGUUGGACUUGGACUUUUCAG
Molecule: long non-coding RNA, 548 nt
Filed under: Heterocephalus glaber (naked mole-rat)
Lineage: Eukaryota; Metazoa; Chordata; Mammalia; Rodentia; Bathyergidae
Description: lncRNA (ENSHGLG00000032404.1)
Source: RNAcentral